RNAcentral lists this ribosomal RNA (792 nucleotides) under uncultured bacterium. Its description in RNAcentral is "bacterial SSU rRNA". It matches the Rfam family "Bacterial small subunit ribosomal RNA", at positions 8 to 796 of the family's 1533-position model. The record is from RNAcentral.
AGAGUUUGAUCAUGGCUCAGGAUGAACGCUAGCGGCAGGCCUAAUACAUGCAAGCCGAACGGUAAUUCUGGUAGCAAUACUGGAACUAGAGUGGCGUAAGGGUGCGUAACACGUAUGCAAUCUACCCGCAACAGGAGGAUAGCUCCCCGAAAGGGGAAUUAACCCUCCAUGAGAUCACGGGGCGGCAUCGCCGAGUGAUUAAAUCUGAGGAGGUUGUGGAUGAGCAUGCGACUGAUUAGCUAGUUGGCAGUGUAACGGACUACCAAGGCAAUGAUCAGUAGGGGAACUGAGAGGUUGAUCCCCCACACUGGCACUGAGAUACGGGCCAGACUCCUACGGGAGGCAGCAGUAGGGAAUAUUGGUCAAUGGGUGAGAGCCUGAACCAGCCAUGCCGCGUGCAGGAAGAAGGCCUUCUGGGUUGUAAACUGCUUUUGCCGGGGGAUAAAAGACCCUUGCGAGGGAAAUUGAAGGUACCUGGUGAAUAAGCCACGGCUAACUACGUGCCAGCAGCCGCGGUAAUACGUAGGUGGCAAGCGUUGUCCGGAUUUAUUGGGUUUAAAGGGUGCGUAGGCGGUUGAUUAAGUCAGUUGUGAAAUACGGCAGCUUAACUGUCGAGGUGCAAUUGAUACUGGUUGACUUGAGUACAGACGAGGUAGGCGGAAUUGACGGUGUAGCGGUGAAAUGCAUAGAUAUCGUCAAGAACACCGAUAGCGAAGGCAGCUUACUAGACUGUAACUGACGCUGAGGCACGAAAGUGUGGGGAUCAAACAGGAUUAGAUACCCUAGUAGUCC